GACGAACGCUGGCGGCGUGCUUAACACAUGCAAGUCGAACGGAAAGGCCCUGCUUGCAGGGUACUCGAGUGGCGAACGGGCGAGUAACACGUGGGUGAUCUGCCCUGCACUUCGGGAUAAGCCUGGGAAACUGGGUCUAAUACCGGAUAGGAGCCAUUUUUAGUGUGAUGGUUGGAAAGUUUUUUCGGUGUAGGAUGAGCUCGCGGCCUAUCAGCUUGUUGGGGGGGUAAUGGACUACCAAGGCGGCGGCGGGUAGCCGGCCUGAGAGGGUGGCCUGCGAUACUGAGACUGAGAGGCGGCAGAGACACCGACGGGUGGGAGCAGGGGGGAAGCUUGAACAAGGGGCGCAAGCCGGAUGCAGCGGGUCCGCGGGUCGGAUGACGGUCUUCGGGUUGAAGACUACAUGCGCUAGUGACGGAGCUUUUUGUGACGGUACCUAGAUAAGAAGCACCGGCUAACUACGUG
RNAcentral lists this ribosomal RNA (465 nucleotides) under uncultured bacterium. Its description in RNAcentral is "partial 16S ribosomal RNA". It matches the Rfam family "Bacterial small subunit ribosomal RNA", at positions 28 to 507 of the family's 1533-position model. The record is from RNAcentral.